Molecule: ribosomal RNA, 396 nt
Filed under: uncultured bacterium
Lineage: Bacteria
Description: partial 16S ribosomal RNA
Rfam family: Bacterial small subunit ribosomal RNA
Source: RNAcentral
AUACGGAGGGUCCGAGCGUUAAUCGGAAUUACUGGGCGUAAAGCGCGCGUAGGUGGUUCAGUCAGUCAGAUGUGAAAGCCGCGGGCUCAACCUGGGAACUGCACCUGAUACUGCUGAGCUAGAGUACGGUAGAGGGCAGUGGAAUUUCCGGUGUAGCGGUGAAAUGCGUAGAGAUCGGAAGGAACACCAGUGGCGAAGGCGACUGCCUGGACUUAUACUGACACUGAGGUGCGAAAGCGUGGGUAGCAAACAGGAUUAGAUCCCCUGGUAUUCCACGCCGUAAACGAUGUCAACUAGCCGUUGGGGGACUUGAUCCUUUAGUGGCGAAGCUAACGCGAUAAGUUGACCGCCUGGGGAGUACGGCCGCAAGGUUAAAACUCAAAUGAAUUGACGGGG